AAUGAACGUUGGCGGCGUGGAUUAGGCAUGCAAGUCGAGCGGUAGGGGUUCCCUCACCUCACCCUCUCCAUUGGGAGAGGGCCGGGGUGAGGGGACUCUGAGAGCGGCGAAAGGGAGAGUAAUACGUAGUUACGUACCCCGAGGACCGGAAUAGCCACGGGAAACUGUGGGUAAUGCCGGAUAAUAUCUUCGGAUCAAAGGUGUGAUUCCGCCCUGGGAGCGGACUGCGUUGUACUAGCUUGUUGGUGGGGUAAUGGCCUACCAAGGCGAUGAUGCAUAGCGGGUGUGAGAGUAUGGCCCGCCUCACUGGGACUGAGACACUGCCCAGACACCUACGGGUGGCAG
This 345-nucleotide ribosomal RNA is filed under the name uncultured Planctomycetota bacterium. RNAcentral describes it as "bacterial SSU rRNA". It matches the Rfam family "Bacterial small subunit ribosomal RNA", at positions 29 to 351 of the family's 1533-position model. The record is from RNAcentral. Lineage: Bacteria; Pseudomonadati; Planctomycetota.